This 65-nucleotide transfer RNA is filed under the name Polygraphus poligraphus. RNAcentral's name for it is "tRNA-Tyr". Lineage: Eukaryota; Metazoa; Arthropoda; Insecta; Coleoptera; Curculionidae. The record is from RNAcentral.
GGUAGAAUGGCUGAUUAUAAGCGGUAGAUUGUAAGUCUAUGUAUGGGUAAAAUACUCUUCUAUCA